RNAcentral lists this long non-coding RNA (307 nucleotides) under Anser brachyrhynchus (Pink-footed goose). RNAcentral describes it as "lncRNA (ENSABRG00000005868.1)". Lineage: Eukaryota; Metazoa; Chordata; Aves; Anseriformes; Anatidae. The record is from RNAcentral.
CUGCAGGAAGAGAGGUGUAGCUCGUGGUGAGAGCUGAGAAGUGGAGCUUAAGAAGGAUCAAUGACAGAGAUAAACUUGGACAGUAUAUACAGGAGAAUAUCUACACUGAAAAGGUAGCAGAUUUGAUGUCCAUUUUAUUGUACCUUGUGUCGAGGACGGGGUAAGAAGUCCUUGAAGAAGCUGCCAGAGCAGUGGUAUCCACACCAAAUCUUCAUGAGGACUCAGGGCAAAGGGAACUGAGGAAAGCUUUGCAGACAAGAUACACAUUGCCUCACUUCAGAGGAGCAGCACAUGAAGCAGUAAGCAC